GACGAACGCUGGCGGCGUGCCUAAUACAUGCAAGUCGAGCGAGCGGAACUAACAGAUUUACUUCGGUAAUGACGUUAGGAAAGCGAGCGGCGGAUGGGUGAGUAACACGUGGGGAACCUGCCCCAUAGUCUGGGAUACCACUUGGAAACAGGUGCUAAUACCGGAUAAGAAAGCAGAUCGCAUGAUCAGCUUUUAAAAGGCGGCGUAAGCUGUCGCUAUGGGAUGGCCCCGCGGUGCAUUAGCUAGUUGGUAAGGUAAAGGCUUACCAAGGCGAUGAUGCAUAGCCGAGUUGAGAGACUGAUCGGCCACAUUGGGACUGAGACACGGCCCAAACUCCUACGGGAGGCAGCAGUAGGGAAUCUUCCACAAUGGACGCAAGUCUGGUGGAGCAACGCCGCGUGAGUGAAGAAGGUUUUCAGAUCGUAAAGCUCUGUUGUUGGUGAAGAAGGAUAGAGGUAGUAACUGGCCUUUAUUUGACGGUAAUCAACCAGAAAGUCACGGCUAACUACGUGCCAGCAGCCGCGGUAAUACGUAGGUGGCAAGCGUUGUCCGGAUUUAUUGGGCGUAAGCGAGCGCAGGCGGAAUAAUAAGUCUGAUGUGAAAGCCCUCGGCUUAACCGAGGAACUGCAUCGGAAACUGUUUUUCUUGAGUGCAGAAGAGGAGAGUGGAACUCCAUGUGUAGCGGUGGAAUGCGUAGAUAUAUGGAAGAACACCAGUGGCGAAGGCGGCUCUCUGGUCUGCAACUGACGCUGAGGCUCGAAAGCAUGGGUAGCGAACAGGAUUAGAUACCCUGGUAGUCCAUGCCGUAAACGAUGAGUGCUAAGUGUUGGGAGGUUUCCGCCUCUCAGUGCUGCAGCUAACGCAUUAAGCACUCCGCCUGGGGAGUACGACCGCAAGGUUGAAACUCAAAGGAAUUGACGGGGGCCCGCACAACCGGUGGAGCAUGUGGUUUAAUUCGAAGCAACGCGAAGAACCUUACCAGGUCUCGACAUCUAGUCCCAUUUGUAGAGAUACAAAGUUCCCUUCGGGGACGCUAAGACAGGUGGUGCAUGGCUGUCGUCAGCUCGUGUCGUGAGAUGUUGGGUUAAGUCCCGCAACGAGCGCAACCCUUGUUAUUAGUUGCCAGCAUUAAGUUGGGCACUCUAAUGAGACUGCCGGUGACAAACCGGAGGAAGGUGGGGAUGACGUCAAGUCAUCAUGCCCCUUAUGACCUGGGCUACACACGUGCUACAAUGGGCAGUACAACGAGAAGCGAGCCUGCGAAGGCAAGCCCAAUCUCUGAAAGCUGUUCUCAGUUCGGACUGCAGUCUGCAACUCGACUGCACGAAGUUGGAAUCGCUAGUAAUCGCGGAUCAGCACGCCGCGGUGAAUACGUUCCCGGGCCU
This 1385-nucleotide ribosomal RNA is filed under the name uncultured bacterium. RNAcentral describes it as "bacterial SSU rRNA". It matches the Rfam family "Bacterial small subunit ribosomal RNA", at positions 28 to 1381 of the family's 1533-position model. The record is from RNAcentral.